GAUGAACGCUAGCGGCAGGCCUAAUACAUGCAAGUCGAACGGGAUUUGGGAGCUUGCUCCCAAUGAGAGUGGCGCACGGGUGCGUAACACGUAUGUAACCUACCUUAAUCAGGGGGAUAGCCUCUCGAAAGAGAGAUUAACACCGCAUAAAAUCACACUAUGGCAUCAUAGAAUGAUCAAAUAUUUAUAGGAUUAAGAUGGGCAUGCGGAACAUUAGCUAGUUGGUAAGGUAACGGCUUACCAAGGCUACGAUGUUUAGGGGAUCUGAGAGGAUGGCCCCCCAAACUGGUACUGAGACACGGACCAGACUCCUACGGGAGGCAGCAGUAAGGAAUAUUGGUCAAUGGGCGGAAGCCUGAACCAGCCAUGCCGCGUGCAGGAAGACGGCCCUACGGGUUGUAAACUGCUUUUGUACCGGAAUAAACCUUUCUACGUGUAGGAAGCUGAAUGUACGGUAAGAAUAAGGAUCGGCUAACUCCGUGCCAGCAGCCGCCGUAA
RNAcentral lists this ribosomal RNA (498 nucleotides) under uncultured bacterium. RNAcentral describes it as "partial 16S ribosomal RNA". It matches the Rfam family "Bacterial small subunit ribosomal RNA", at positions 28 to 523 of the family's 1533-position model. The record is from RNAcentral.